CGGCCACAUUGGGACUGAGCCACGGUCAAACUCUCUACGGGAGGCAGCAGUAGGGAAUCUUCGGCAAUGGACGAAAGUCUGACCGAGCAACGCCGCGUGAGUGAAGAAGGUUUUCGGAUCGUAAAACUCUGUUGUUAGAGAAGAACAAGGAUGAGAGUAACUGUUCAUCCCUUGACGGUAUCUAACCAGAAAGCCACGGCUAACUACGUGCCAGCAGCCGCGGUAAUACGUAGGUGGCAAGCGUUGUCCGGAUUUAUUGGGCGUAAAGCGAGCGCAGGCGGUUUCUUAAGUCUGAUGUGAAAGCCCCCGGCUCAACCGGGGAGGGUCAUUGGAAACUGGGAGACUUGAGUGCAGAAGAGGAGAGUGGAAUUCCAUGUGUAGCGGUGAAAUGCGUAGAUAUAUGGAGGAACACCAGUGGCGAAGGCGGCUCUCUGGUCUGUAACUGACGCUGAGGCUCGAAAGCGUGGGGAGCAAACAGGAUUAGAUACCCUGGUAGUCCACGCCGUAACGAUGAGUGCUAAGUGUUGGAGGGUUUCCGCCCUUCAGUGCUGCAGCUAACGCAUUAAGCACUCCGCCUGGGGAGUACGACCGCAAGGUUGAAACUCAAAGGAAUUGACGGGGGGCCCGCACAAGCGGUGGAGCAUGUGGUUUAAUUCGAAGC
RNAcentral lists this ribosomal RNA (661 nucleotides) under Enterococcus ratti. RNAcentral's name for it is "bacterial SSU rRNA". It matches the Rfam family "Bacterial small subunit ribosomal RNA", at positions 305 to 957 of the family's 1533-position model. The record is from RNAcentral. Lineage: Bacteria; Bacillati; Bacillota; Bacilli; Lactobacillales; Enterococcaceae.